GAGAGUCCUUUUUGUAAAGGAUCCGUUAGCUUUUGUGCUUACUCAGCUGUUUCCGCGUUGUAUUGCUGCAGCGUACCUAUGCGUACUUUGUUAGACGCGAAAUUUUAAACAAAAUGAACACACUGUGCAUCCACCAAGAGUCAGUAUUCAAUUUUUUUUUUUUUUGUUCACACUGUAUAAUGGUACGCUUAUAGUGAGAGAGCUGUAUAGUUGUGAAUUAUUGUAAAAUUAUUAUAUUAUGUUAAUCGAUUCGAUAUUCGAAAAAACUUUAU
Cinara cedri is the source of this 272-nucleotide non-coding RNA. The record is from the annotation of a GenBank genome assembly. Lineage: Eukaryota; Metazoa; Arthropoda; Insecta; Hemiptera; Aphididae.